GAGGCGCACCUGUGAGGUGUCCCUGAGGAGAGGGAGGUGGGUGCGCGGCGCCCGCGGCCUGGGGCGCUGAGUCCCUUCACUUGGAGUGAGUUCUCGGCGGCCGGGCUGCAGUCUUUCUUUCUUUCCCGGAGGGGGCUAGGGGCCGGGGGCCGGGGAGCGGGCUGGGGGUGGGAAGGAGGCGGAGUGGAUUAAAGAAAAGAAAAACAACCCAUCCCGGAGGAUGGGCCUCGGGCCGGCCCGGCCCUUGGGGAUGGCGGGGAAGGUCAGAGCGGCUCCGCGCAGCCGGGCGGGCCCCAGGCUGAGAAGCCGCCCCUCGGGCCUCGGGCGGUCGGCCGCGGGCCCGCAGUGCGGGGGAGCGGGGCCGGGGGGCGCAGAUGGCGGCGGGCGCGAGCGAGGGCUGGGCAGCGGGCAGGGCGAGGCCCCGCGGGAGCCGGACUCCCGAGCCAGGCUCCAUUGUUGUUGGAGCCGAGAAGGGGGAGCGCGGCCGCCCUCGUCGCCCGUGGAGCCGCGCCUUGGAGCCCUUCCAGGCGGGUCCCUGGAGAGGCGGUCAUGGCCGCGCCAGGGGACCGGGGAGCCGGGCGGCUGCGGAGGAGCCGGCUGCAUGGGGUGCUGUGUGUUUUUCAGGGCACCCUGCGUCCGGCAGAGGAGGCGAGCAUCCCGCUCAGGUGAUGAGGAACCCCUCGCGCACCCAGCGCAGAAGGCUGCUGCGGCCGGACGCCUCCAUUGUUUGACCACAAGGGCCGGAUUCUCACCCAGGAUCCUAAGGCCUUUGUAGCCCUUCAGCCACUGUGGGCCCUGCCUCUGCCUGUUCUUCUGGAAUGUCUUGGGGGUUUUGAUCCUGUCAUUGUGGUAAGUUUUCCCUUUGUUUCACCAUUUGUCCUGGAUGGAGAAUCCCCCUUGAGUAUUUUAAGCCAAAGCUGUCUCUAGAAUUUUUUCUGAGCAUGUGCCCUUUGGGGCUUAAUAAGGAAGCAGCUCUCCAUGUCUCACACUCUUCCUGACCUCUCGUCUUUAUCUGGCAUUGAAUUCCUCAGAUCUUGGACCACCUUCCUUACUCUGAAGAUAUCAGAAACAUUUUUGUCCAUCUCCUCAGAAUCUUCAUUUUCUUAUUUCCAUGGGAACUAUUGGUUAUUAAAACUUUGUUUCACUUGUCCCAUUUUCCUCUGCCAUCUUGGAGGCCUUACAUGGAUUCUAGAUCUCAU
This 1199-nucleotide long non-coding RNA is filed under the name Piliocolobus tephrosceles (Ugandan red Colobus). RNAcentral's name for it is "lncRNA (ENSPTEG00000004077.1)". Lineage: Eukaryota; Metazoa; Chordata; Mammalia; Primates; Cercopithecidae. The record is from RNAcentral.